CCUUUAAUUUUUUGUUAGUGUGUUUAGUUCUUCCAAUUUCUUCAGCUAUAGAGUAUUAAUCAUAUCAAAGUAUUAAUUGCAAAAUUGUUUAAAAUAUUUGAAAUAUAUCAUUUAUUUUGCUGAAAACAAUUUUAGAAUAUCUCUGCAUAUAUUUACUAAUUCUGAAACUUUUUCUUUUACGUUGCAAAUGUACUUUAGAAUUUAAUUUUAUUUGUGUGGAGACUAGAUAAUCUAAUUCUGAAAUUGUCUUAUGUGUGUUACUUCCUCGUAGUAAGAGAGUGGUUAAUAAAAAAGUUCUAAAAGUCC
This 306-nucleotide long non-coding RNA is filed under the name Olea europaea subsp. europaea. Lineage: Eukaryota; Viridiplantae; Streptophyta; Magnoliopsida; Lamiales; Oleaceae. The record is from RNAcentral.